Schistosoma rodhaini is the source of this 46-nucleotide non-coding RNA. The record is from Rfam. Lineage: Eukaryota; Metazoa; Platyhelminthes; Trematoda; Strigeidida; Schistosomatidae.
GCACUGCCGAAGGGUCCCAUAGUAGGACGAAACGGCCGUCCAGUGC